RNAcentral lists this ribosomal RNA (253 nucleotides) under uncultured bacterium. RNAcentral's name for it is "partial 16S ribosomal RNA". It matches the Rfam family "Bacterial small subunit ribosomal RNA", at positions 524 to 776 of the family's 1533-position model. The record is from RNAcentral.
UACAGAGGUGCCGAGCGUUAGGCGGAAUCACUGGGCUUAAAGCGUGUGUAGGCGGAUCGUUAAGUACCUUGUGAAAUCCCACGGCUCAACCGUGGAACUGCUGGGUAUACUGGCGGUCUUGAGCCACCUAGGGGCGAGCGGAACAAGCGGUGGAGCGGUGAAAUGCGUAGAUAUCGCUUGGAACGCCGACGGUGAAAACAGCUCGCUGGGGGUGUGCUGACGCUGAGACACGAAAGCCAGGGGAGCGAACGGG